AAACCAAAUAGAUUGAAUUAUACUUUUCGGUAAAAAGAUAGUUAAGUAGAUCUGAAGUCAAUUUAAUUUUUAUUAAGAAGUAGAAUUCAUAAAUGAUUUAGAAAUCUAAUAAUGACUAUAAAACUGAAGCUAUGAUAACUUUGGGGGAAACUGGGAUUAGAUACCCCACUAUUCUUAGAAGUAAAUAAACAAAUAGUUUGCCAGAGUACUAUGAACUAUUAAAUUUAAAACUCAAAGGGCUUGGCGGUGUUUUAGACUUUUUAGGGGAACCUGUCUCAUAAUCGAUAAUCCACGAUAUACCUGACUUUUAUUUGCCUUCAGUUUGUAUACCGUCGUCGUCAGGUAACUUUUUAGAAAAAAGAAGUUAGCAAUAAAGCAUUAUUAAUCUUUUACGUCAGAUCAAGGUGCAGCUAAUAUAAAAGUGAGGAUGGGUUACAAUUAUUAUAAUUAUAAAUACGAAAAUAAUAACUUGAAAAGUAAUAUGAAGGAGGACUUAAAAGUAAAAUGAACUAUAAAAACAUUUUGAAUACAGCUCUGAAACGUGC
This 545-nucleotide ribosomal RNA is filed under the name Plicopurpura columellaris. Its description in RNAcentral is "partial 12S ribosomal RNA". The record is from RNAcentral. Lineage: Eukaryota; Metazoa; Mollusca; Gastropoda; Neogastropoda; Muricidae.